Molecule: ribosomal RNA, 415 nt
Filed under: bacterium enrichment culture clone ALO1_GLFRUDD03G4NOC
Lineage: Bacteria
Description: bacterial SSU rRNA
Rfam family: Bacterial small subunit ribosomal RNA
Source: RNAcentral
GAGUUUGAUCUUGGCUCAGAUUGAACGCUGGCGGCAGGCCUAACACAUGCAAGUCGAGCGGAUGACGGGAGCUUGCUCCUUGAUUCAGCGGCGGACGGGUGAGUAAUGCCUAGGAAUCUGCCUGGUAGUGGGGGACAACGUUUCGAAAGGAACGCUAAUACCGCAUACGUCCUACGGGAGAAAGCAGGGGACCUUCGGGCCUUGCGCUAUCAGAUGAGCCUAGGUCGGAUUAGCUAGUUGGUGGGGUAAUGGCUCACCAAGGCGACGAUCCGUAACUGGUCUGAGAGGAUGAUCAGCCACACUGGAACUGAGACACGGUCCAGACUCCUACGGGAGGCAGCAGUGGGGAAUUUUGGACAAUGGGGGCAACCCUGAUCCAGCCAUGCCGCGUGAGUGAAGAAGGCCUCGGUUGUAA